This 550-nucleotide long non-coding RNA is filed under the name Androctonus crassicauda. The record is from RNAcentral. Lineage: Eukaryota; Metazoa; Arthropoda; Arachnida; Scorpiones; Buthidae.
ACCUUCUUUACAAUUAAGUUCUCAUAUUUGGUCCUUAUAGUGUCAUGGCUCUUGAAUAAGAGUUAGGUCAUAACAGCCCACAACAAGCAGCUGACCCAAAAGGAUGGAAACAGCUCAGGAAUGCUGGAGAUUGAUUUGGAUCACCCUCAGACCUAUAACACUACAGGUGCCUAAGAUGGGUAAACUUCCAUGUCCACCACCAAAGACCGCGCACCAGAAGGUCCAGGCUUCCAGAAUCACGAUCCUUAUUAGCGAGCCCGACCAGUUCAUGUCCCCUUUGCAGGUGCAAUCGCUGAAGUAUCAGUCAUCUAAACUUGGAUUUAGGAUCUGAAAGUACCUUGAAGGUCCCUUUGUCGACACCAGAGAGAGCCUUAAAAUUAUCUACUUUGAUGGCCUUAGCCAAAACAAGAUCCACCAUUAUGAUGAUGUACUGUCCCUUUGCAUCCUUACUUCAACCCAAAACUCUCCAGUUCUCAGUUUUGAAUCCUGGAUUGUAGAUUUUGAGUUGAGCCAAAAGUUUAUUCACAUCCUCUGUGUGGAUAUCUGCAGU